RNAcentral lists this ribosomal RNA (500 nucleotides) under uncultured bacterium. Its description in RNAcentral is "partial 16S ribosomal RNA". It matches the Rfam family "Bacterial small subunit ribosomal RNA", at positions 30 to 523 of the family's 1533-position model. The record is from RNAcentral.
AUUGAACGCUGGCGGCAUGCCUUACACAUGCAAGUCGAACGGCAGCACGGGAGCAAUCCUGGUGGCGAGUGGCGAACGGGUGAGUAAAGUAUCGGAACGUGCCCAGUCGGGGGGGAUAACGUAGCGAAAGUUACGCUAAUAACGCAUACGAUCUACGGAUGAAAGCGGGGGAUAGCAAGACCUCGCGCGAUUGGAGCGGCUGAUUCCUGAUUAGGUAGUUGGGGGGGUAAAGGCUCACCAAGUCGACGAUCUGUAGCUGGUCUGAGAGGACGACCAGCCACACUGGGACUGAGACACGGCACAGACUCCUACGGGAGGCAGCAGUGGGGAAUUUUGGACAAUGGGCGCAAGCCUGAUCCAGCCAUGCCGCGUGCAGGAUGAAGGCCUUCGGGUUGUAAACUGCUUUUGUACGGAACGAAAAGGUUUGGCCUAAUAAGCUGGACCCAUGACGGUACCGUAAGAAUAAGCACCGGCUAACUACGUGCCAGCAGCCGCCGUAA